UAUAUAAGUUAUCGUUUAUUUGAUAGUACCUUACUACUUGGAUAACCGUGGUAAUUCUAGAGCUAAUACAUGCUAAAAAUCCCGACUUCGGAAGGGAUGUAUUUAUUAGAUUAAAAACCAAUGCCCUCUGGGCUCUCUGGUGAUUCAUGAUAACUUCUCGAAUCGCAUGGCCUUGCGCCGGCGAUGGUUCAUUCAAAUUUCUUCCCUAUCAACUUUCGAUGUUUGGGUAGUGGCCAAACAUGGUUGCAACGGGUAACGGAGGGUUAGGGCUCGACCCCGGAGAAGGAGCCUGAGAAACGGCUACUACAUCCAAGGAAGGCAGCAGGCGCGCAAAUUACCCAAUCCCGACACGGGGAGGUAGUGACAAUAAAUACUGAUACAGGGCUCUUUUGGGUCUUGUAAUUGGAAUGAGUACAAUUUAAAUCCCUUAACGAGGAACAAUUGGAGGGCAAGUCUGGUGCCAGCAGCCGCGGUAAUUCCAGCUCCAAUAGCGUAUAUUAAAGUUGUUGUGGUUAAAAAGCUCGUAGUUGAACCUUGGGCCUGGCUGGCCGGUCCGCCUCACCGCGUGUACUGGUCCGGCCGGGCCUUUCCCUCUGUGGAACCCCAUGCCCUUCACUGGGUGUGGCGGGGAAACAGGACUUUUACUUUGAAAAAAUUAGAGUGCUCCAGGCAGGCCUAUGCUCGAAUACAUUAGCAUGGAAUAAUGAAAUAGGACGUGCGGUUCUAUUUUGUUGGUUUCUAG
RNAcentral lists this ribosomal RNA (742 nucleotides) under Hypocreales sp. A560. Its description in RNAcentral is "SSU rRNA". It matches the Rfam family "Eukaryotic small subunit ribosomal RNA", at positions 102 to 854 of the family's 1831-position model. Lineage: Eukaryota; Fungi; Ascomycota; Sordariomycetes; Hypocreales. The record is from RNAcentral.